GAAUUUGUGGUAAUAUGCCGAAAAUGCUAAAUUUUAUAAAUUCCUAAUCCAUGUGCCGCAGGUUCGAUUCCUGCCGGGGGCACCA
RNAcentral lists this transfer RNA (85 nucleotides) under Desulfosalsimonas propionicica. RNAcentral describes it as "tRNA-Arg". Lineage: Bacteria; Pseudomonadati; Thermodesulfobacteriota; Desulfobacteria; Desulfobacterales; Desulfosalsimonadaceae. The record is from RNAcentral.